Molecule: long non-coding RNA, 1812 nt
Organism: Equus caballus (horse)
Lineage: Eukaryota; Metazoa; Chordata; Mammalia; Perissodactyla; Equidae
Source: Ensembl
CAGACGCUGUGCUCUUUACUUCUAAGCCAUACUGCCUCAUUGUGAGGUCACCCUCAAUUAAAGGCAGCUCCCCCACUCCAAGAUCUCUCUUAGAUCUCUUCUCUCUGUUCCUUAUGGAAAAGAUUCCCAGACUUCAGUCUCUUCUCCAACACUAUCUGAGUCUCCACCAUCUUCUUCUCUGCAACAUGGUGACUGCUAAGGCUGCCGGGCAAGCCCUGAACAGCCACAUGGACCAAUCUGAACUCUUCACAUACUUGUAAAUGUUAUUGAGAUAUCCCACAGGAAAGCACGAUGAGCUACAGAGAGCAUCCCCUUGAAGUGGGAGAGCAGGAAGGCAUCAUAAUGACAUUCCUGACUUUUGAGCAAUUACCUGUUAAGCCUAUAAAAUUGAAGUUAUGAAGCCUCGCAGUUUAGUUAAUGCUUCCAGUUGAGCUGGGGGAAGAAACCAGGAAGCAGGAAACUGACUUCCUAAGCAGAUUUAGAGUGGGGGAGCACCCUUAACAGAUGGCAGUUUGACUCGUGGAAAAGUCAAUUGCUUCCUUUCAUUUCCAGCAGGCAUUGAGAAGAGCCGGACGAGCAGUUCACAGAGCAACCUGGAUAAAAUUCAGCUAAGUAUAGAGAGAGAACAAGGAACUUCUGAGCCAAGGCAGAUCAAAGGAUGUUUGAGGAUGGUUUAACAUUGGAACACUUCAGAAGUGUGAUGUGAGCUAUUCUGUCCACCUCCAGCCUCAAAUGCUUAUCCAGCAUUCGUGGAUAAGCUUUCACAUGCAACGUAAAAAUUAGAACUGGCUUUCCCAUUGCAUACCCUGUUAUUUCUUGUCUUUCAUUAAGCUGGCACCUGAGAGCAAAGAGAGAAGAAAAAUAUAGCGAUGAAGUUAAGCUGAUCUUUUGUGGAGCUGAGGCUCUUGUUAAAACUGACCUUUCAUCAUGGGUAGAGACUGUUUAAAAUGAUUAUUUCAAAUGGUAGCUUUGUUUCUCCUUACUGAACUCGUUUGCUGAUUAUCUCACUCUGGUUUGGAAUUUUCUGAAUGACUGAUCAAGGAAGAAUGAAUGGAGAAGUAGAAGAAUAAAACACCCUUGCUGGAGCCUCACUGCGGUGAGCUUGCGAUGCCAUAUUAAGCAGACAAGGAGGAAGAAGAAAGCUUUCUAUUUGGUGACCUUUUGAAGCUCACUAGUGUGCAAUAUGUUUCCAUCACGUUGAAAGCAUCUGACAAUAGAAACGUGCUAUGCAGUUUCUCUUUCUUUCUCUCUCUCUCUCUUUUUUUAACUGAAUGGCUGAGAUACAUCAUUCUGCUGUGUCUUGACCUUGAACAGAACACACUUGAAGUAUUUUAAAGCCAGAACAGAUGGAAGGGCUUCAGCUAAACUGAGUAAAACUGAGAAGACUUUUGGUCUCCAAAUUAAACUUAUUCACAGUAAGAUGGGAAGAGACAACUAUAAUUUUUUAUUUUUUAUUUUAAAAAAAUUUUUUGAGGAAGAUUAGCCCCGAGCCAACAUCUGCUGCCAAUCCUCCUCUUUUUGCUGAGGAAGACUGGCCCUGAGCUAACAUGCAUGCCCAUGUUCCUCUAGUUUAUAUGUAGGAUGCCUGCCACAGCAUGGCUUGACAAGCUGUGCGUAUGUCCACACCCAGGAUCCAAACCAGUGAGCCCUGGGAUGCCGAAGCAGAAUGUGCGAGCUUAACCACUGCACCAUUGGGCUAGUCCCCAGACAACUAUAAAAAUAAAUUAAAAAUGUAUGUAUCUCAAUAAAAUACAGAUACAGAUGAUUGAACAGCAACUGUAAUAUUGUAGUCAAAUUCCUUUUUAAAAAUGU